RNAcentral lists this ribosomal RNA (493 nucleotides) under uncultured bacterium. RNAcentral describes it as "bacterial SSU rRNA". It matches the Rfam family "Bacterial small subunit ribosomal RNA", at positions 58 to 507 of the family's 1533-position model. The record is from RNAcentral.
CAAGUCGAACGAAGUGGCCAAUGAAAAUUAGCGUGCUUGCACAAAAUUGGAUUUGGAUUUUUCCACUUAGUGGCAGACGGGUGAGUAAUGCACAGGUAACCUACCCUAAGGACUGGACAACUAUUGGAAACGAUAGCUAAUACCGGAUGAUUCAUAGAUAGAUAACUAUUUAUGCUAAAAGGAGCUUCGGCUUCACCUCAGGAUGGGCUUGUAUUGUAUUAGUUAGUUGGUGAGGUAAUGGCCCACCAAGACUACGAUGCAUAUCCGAGCUGAGAGGCUGAUCGGACACAUUGGAACUGAGAUACGGUCCAAACUCCUACGGGAGGCAGCAGUUAGGAAUAUUCGCCAAUGGGGGAAACCCUGAACGAGCAAUGCCGCGUGAGUGAUGAAGGUCUUAAUGAUUGUAAAACUCUGUUGCGAAGGAAGAAUAGCCAUCAUAGGUAAUGAUGAUGGUGUGACGGUACUUCACCAGAAAGCCCCGGCUAACUACGUG